AUUGAACGCUGGCGGCAGGCCUAACACAUGCAAGUCGAGCGAGUGGCGGACGGGUGAGUAAUGUAUGGGGAACUGCCCGAUGGAGGGGGAUAACUACUGGAAACGGUAGCUAAUACCGCAUACCAUCAGAUGUACCCAGAUGGGAUUAGCUUGUUGGUGGGGUAACGGCUCACCAAGGCGACGAUCCCUAGCUGGUCUGAGAGGAUGACCAGCCACACUGGAACUGAGACACGGUCCAGACUCCGACGGGAGGCAGCAGUGGGGAAUAUUGCACAAUGGGCGCAAGCCUGAUGCAGCCAUGCCGCGUGUAUGAAGAAGGCCUUAGGGUUGUAAAGUACUUUCAGCGGGGAGGCGUUACCCGCAGAAGAAGCACCGGCUAACUCCGUGCCAGCAGCCGCGGUAAUAC
Molecule: ribosomal RNA, 406 nt
Filed under: uncultured bacterium
Lineage: Bacteria
Description: partial 16S ribosomal RNA
Rfam family: Bacterial small subunit ribosomal RNA
Source: RNAcentral